CGGUNCGCUAACCGCAAGGAGGCAGCCGGCCACGGUAGGGUCAGCGACUGGGGUG
Molecule: ribosomal RNA, 55 nt
Filed under: uncultured bacterium
Lineage: Bacteria
Description: partial 16S ribosomal RNA
Source: RNAcentral